This 2468-nucleotide ribosomal RNA is filed under the name Acinetobacter baumannii. RNAcentral's name for it is "partial 23S ribosomal RNA". It matches the Rfam family "Bacterial large subunit ribosomal RNA", at positions 474 to 2925 of the family's 2925-position model. The record is from RNAcentral. Lineage: Bacteria; Pseudomonadati; Pseudomonadota; Gammaproteobacteria; Moraxellales; Moraxellaceae.
UCCUGACUGACCGAUAGUGAACCAGUACCGUGAGGGAAAGGCGAAAAGAACCCCUGUGAGGGGAGUGAAAUAGAUCCUGAAACCGCAUGCAUACAAGCAGUGGGAGCACCUUCGUGGUGUGACUGCGUACCUUUUGUAUAAUGGGUCAGCGACUUAUAUUCAGUAGCGAGGUUAACCGUAUAGGGGAGCCGUAGAGAAAUCGAGUCUUAAUAGGGCGUUUAGUUGCUGGGUAUAGACCCGAAACCAGGCGAUCUAUCCAUGAGCAGGUUGAAGGUUGGGUAACACUAACUGGAGGACCGAACCCACUGUCGUUGAAAAGCCAGGGGAUGACUUGUGGAUAGGGGUGAAAGGCUAAUCAAGCCUGGUGAUAGCUGGUUCUCCCCGAAAGCUAUUUAGGUAGCGCCUCGGACGAAUACCAUAGGGGGUAGAGCACUGUUUCGGCUAGGGGGUCAUCCCGACUUACCAAACCGAUGCAAACUCCGAAUACCUAUGAGUACUAUCCGGGAGACAGACUGCGGGUGCUAACGUCCGUAGUCAAGAGGAAAACAAUCCAGACCGCCAGCUAAGGCCCCAAAAUCAUAGUUAAGUGGGAAACGAUGUGGGAAGGCAUAGACAGCUAGGAGGUUGGCUUAGAAGCAGCCACCCUUUAAAGAAAGCGUAAUAGCUCACUAGUCGAGUCGGCCUGCGCGGAAGAUGUAACGGGGCUAAAACUAUGUGCCGAAGCUGCGGAUGUAUACUUUGUAUACGUGGUAGGGGAGCGUUCUGUAAGCCGAUGAAGGUGUGUUGAGAAGCAUGCUGGAGGUAUCAGAAGUGCGAAUGCUGACGUGAGUAACGACAAAACGGGUGAAAAACCCGUUCGCCGAAAGACCAAGGGUUCCAGUCCAACGUUAAUCGGGGCUGGGUGAGUCGACCCCUAAGGCGAGGCCGAAAGGCGUAGUCGAUGGGAAAAUGGUUAAUAUUCCAUUACUUCUGUGUAAUGCGAUGAGAGGACGGAGAAGGCUAAAUCAGCCUGGCGUUGGUUGUCCAGGUGAAAGGAUGUAGGCAUGUAUCUUAGGCAAAUCCGGGGUACUCUAUGCUGAGAUCUGAUAGCAAGCUGUACUUGUACAGCGAAGUGGUUGAUGCCAUGCUUCCAGGAAAAGUCUCUAAGCUUCAGUUACACAGGAAUCGUACCCGAAACCGACACAGGUGGUCAGGUCGAGUAGACCAAGGCGCUUGAGAGAACUCUGCUGAAGGAACUAGGCAAAAUGGUACCGUAACUUCGGGAGAAGGUACGCUGUUGUUGGUGAUGGAACUCGCUUCCUGAGCUGACGACAGCCGCAGAAACCAGGCCGCUGCAACUGUUUAUUAAAAACAUAGCACUCUGCAAACACGAAAGUGGACGUAUAGGGUGUGAUGCCUGCCCGGUGCUGGAAGGUUAAUUGAUGGGGUUAGCGUAAGCGAAGCUCUUGAUCGAAGCCCCAGUAAACGGCGGCCGUAACUAUAACGGUCCUAAGGUAGCGAAAUUCCUUGUCGGGUAAGUUCCGACCUGCACGAAUGGCAUAAUGAUGGCGGCGCUGUCUCCAGCAGAGGCUCAGUGAAAUCGAAAUCGCUGUGAAGAUGCAGUGUACCCGCGGCUAGACGGAAAGACCCCGUGAACCUUUACUGCAGCUUGACACUGAACUUUGACCUUACUUGUGUAGGAUAGGUGGGAGGCUUUGAAGCUGGAACGCUAGUUCCAGUGGAGCCGUCCUUGAAAUACCACCCUGGUAAUGUUGAGGUUCUAACUCUGUCCCGUGAUCCGGGACGAGGACCGUGUCUGGUGGGUAGUUUGACUGGGGCGGUCUCCUCCUAAAGAGUAACGGAGGAGUACGAAGGUGCGCUCAGCGUGGUCGGAAAUCACGCGUAGAGUAUAAAGGCAAAAGCGCGCUUAACUGCGAGACCCACAAGUCGAGCAGGUACGAAAGUAGGUCUUAGUGAUCCGGUGGUUCUGUAUGGAAGGGCCAUCGCUCAACGGAUAAAAGGUACUCUGGGGAUAACAGGCUGAUACCGCCCAAGAGUUCAUAUCGACGGCGGUGUUUGGCACCUCGAUGUCGGCUCAUCUCAUCCUGGGGCUGAAGCAGGUCCCAAGGGUAUGGCUGUUCGCCAUUUAAAGAGGUACGCGAGCUGGGUUUAGAACGUCGUGAGACAGUUCGGUCCCUAUCUACCGUGGGCGCUGGAAAUUUGAGAGGAUCUGCUCCUAGUACGAGAGGACCAGAGUGGACGAACCUCUGGUGUACCGGUUGUGACGCCAGUCGCAUCGCCGGGUAGCUAUGUUCGGAAGGGAUAACCGCUGAAAGCAUCUAAGCGGGAAGCCUACCUCAAGAUAAGAUUUCCCUAGGACUUUAUGUCCUCUAAAGAGCCGUUCGAGACUAGGACGUUGAUAGGUUGGAUGUGGAAGCAUAGUGAUAUGUGAAGCUGACCAAUACUAAUUGCUCGUGAGGCUUGACUAU